AGUGAACGCUGGCGGUAGGCCUAACACAUGCAAGUCGAACGGCAGCACAGUAAGAGCUUGCUCUUACGGGUGGCGAGUGGCGGACGGGUGAGGAAUACAUCGGAAUCUACUUUUUCGUGGGGGAUAACGUAGGGAAACUUACGCUAAUACCGCAUACGACCUACGGGUGAAAGCAGGGGAUCUUCGGACCUUGCGCGAUUGAAUGAGCCGAUGUCGGAUUAGCUAGUUGGCGGGGUAAAGGCCCACCAAGGCGACGAUCCGUAGCUGGUCUGAGAGGAUGAUCAGCCACACUGGAACUGAGACACGAUCCGGACUCCUACGGGAGGCAGCAGUGGGGAAUAUUGGACAAUGGGCGCAAGCCUGAUCCAGCCAUACCGCGUGGGUGAAGAAGGCCUUCGGGUUGUAAAGCCCUUUUGUUGGGAAAGAAAAGCAGCAGGUUAAUACCCCGCUGUUCUGACGGUACCCAAAGAAUAAGCACCGGCUAACUUCGUG
RNAcentral lists this ribosomal RNA (492 nucleotides) under uncultured bacterium. Its description in RNAcentral is "partial 16S ribosomal RNA". It matches the Rfam family "Bacterial small subunit ribosomal RNA", at positions 29 to 507 of the family's 1533-position model. The record is from RNAcentral.